Molecule: ribosomal RNA, 555 nt
Filed under: uncultured delta proteobacterium
Lineage: Bacteria; Deltaproteobacteria
Description: bacterial SSU rRNA
Rfam family: Bacterial small subunit ribosomal RNA
Source: RNAcentral
GGCGCACGGGUGAGUAACGCGUAGGUAAUCUACCCUUGUACCUGGGAUAACAUUGGGAAACUGGUGCUAAUACCGGAUACACUUCAUAACUGCGGGGUUAUGGAGGAAAGGUGGCCUCUUGGUCAAAGCUACCGUAUAGGGAUGAGCCUGCGUACCAUUAGCUAGUAGGUGAGGUAACGGCCCACCUAGGCAACGAUGGUUAGCGGGUCUGAGAGGAUGAUCCGCCACACUGGAACUGGAACACGGACCAGACUCCUACGGGAGGCAGCAGUGAGGGAUAUUGCGCAAUGGGGGAAACCCUGACGCAGCGACGCCGCGUGAGUGAGGAAGGCCUUCGGGUCGUAAAGCUCUGUCAGAAGGGAAGAAGUGUUAUACGGUUAAUACCCGUAUGAUUUGACGGUACCUUCAGAGGAAGCACCGGCUAACUCCGUGCCAGCAGCCGCGGUAAUACGGAGGGUGCGAGCGUUGUUCGGAAUUACUGGGCGUAAAGGGCGCGUAGGCGGCUUUAUAAGUCAGAUGUGAAAUCCCACGGCUCAACUGUGGAAGUGCAUUUGA